RNAcentral lists this ribosomal RNA (446 nucleotides) under uncultured bacterium. RNAcentral's name for it is "bacterial SSU rRNA". It matches the Rfam family "Bacterial small subunit ribosomal RNA", at positions 329 to 792 of the family's 1533-position model. The record is from RNAcentral.
UGCCAGACUCCUACGGGAGGCAGCAGUGGGGAAUAUUGCACAAUGGGGGAAACCCUGAUGCAGCGACGCCGCGUGAGCGAUGAAGUAUUUCGGUAUGUAAAGCUCUAUCAGCAGGGAAGAAAAUGACGGUACCUGACUAAGAAGCCCCGGCUAACUACGUGCCAGCAGCCGCGGUAAUACGUAGGUGGCAAGCGUUAUCCGGAUUUACUGGGUGUAAAGGGCGUGUAGGCGGGACUGCAAGUCAGAUGUGAAACCCAUGGGCUCAACCCCGGACCUGCAUUUGAAACUGUUGGUCUUGAGUAUCGGAGAGGCAGGCGGAAUUCCUAGUGUAGCGGUGAAAUGCGUAGAUAUUAGGAGGAACACCAGUGGCGAAGGCGGCCUGCUGGACGACAACUGACGGUGAGGCGCGAAAGCGUGGGGAGCAAACAGGAUUAGAUACCCGAGUA